Molecule: ribosomal RNA, 305 nt
Filed under: uncultured bacterium
Lineage: Bacteria
Description: bacterial SSU rRNA
Rfam family: Bacterial small subunit ribosomal RNA
Source: RNAcentral
GUAUACCUACGGGACGCAGCAGUGGGGAAUAUUGCACAAUGGGCGAAAGCCUGAUGCAGCAACGCCGCGUGAAGGAAGAAGGGUUUCGGCUCGUAAACUUCUAUCAACAGGGACGAAAGAAAUGACGGUACCUGAAUAAGAAGCCCCGGCUAACUACGUGCCAGCAACCGCGGUAAUACGUAGGGGGCAAGCGUUAUCCGGAAUUACUGGGUGUAAAGGGGGAGUAGGCGGCAUGGUAAGCCAGAUGUGACAGCCUUGGGCUUAACCCGAGGAUUGCAUUUGGAACUAUCAAGCUAGAGUACAGG